Molecule: long non-coding RNA, 1482 nt
Filed under: Homo sapiens (human)
Lineage: Eukaryota; Metazoa; Chordata; Mammalia; Primates; Hominidae
Description: HSALNT0075043
Source: RNAcentral
CUGAAACCCACUAAACCCAAGAUGGCCACAAGAGGGACCUCUGGUCGUCCUCACUGCUACACUCCCACCAGCGCCAUGACAGUUUAUAAAUGCCCUGGCAAUGUCAGGAAGUUAGCCUAUGUGGUGGUCUAAAAACAGAAGGCAUGAAUAAUCCACCCCUUGUUUAGCACAUAAUCAAGAAAUAACCGUAAGAAUGUGCAACCAGCAGCCCUUGGGGCUGCUCUGUCUAUGGAGUGGCCAUUCUUUUAUUCCUUUGCUUUCCUAAUAAACUUGCUUUCACUUUACAGACUUGCCCUGAAUUCUUUCUUGCGCGAGAUCUAAGAACCCUCUCUUGGGGUCUGGAUGAGGACCACCUUCCUGUAACAUCUUUCUGGCAACCACAGAAGGGACACAAAGGCUACCUUUGGCUUGGCCCCCAGGGCUAGGGUCCAGCCGCCGGGUCACUAGGACCACUCAAAGAAAGGGAACACAAAAGCCUCACGUGCCAGCAAAAGGGGUCUCUCUGUGUCACCCAGGCUGGAGGUCAAUGACGCCAUCACCUCUCAUUGCCGCCUCAACCUCCUGAGCUCAAAGGAUACUCUCGCCUCAGCUCCUCAAGUAGCUGUAACCACAGUUCUGCUGAUGUAAGCCAUGCUCUGCUGAUCUCAACGGAGUGUACCUAUGCAUCUGCAGUCAGCUGCCACGUAAUCUGCAGCUGGUUUAUCUAGGAUGGCCUCAUUCUUACGUCUUACGUCUGGCAAUUGGAGAUAGAUGUGAGUAAUAUUGAUGAACGAAGAAAACACAGUAAGACAUCAUGGAAACAUGUUGAUUUAAGUCCUAAUCAUGGAGUUAAGAAACAGUGGCUUUUGAGUAAUGAUGAUAUCAGAACAAGAGUAAGUUAAAAGUACCAGAAAGAAAGUAAUUGAAUUUGUCGUAACUAACUUCUGUCAAUAACUGUCUCUAAAACUUGGCCCUAAUUUACAUAAAUUGUAUUAAAAAUGUUCAAAUACUUGGUUAUAAUCAACUCCAAAACUGCAAAAUACUGCUUUUCUCCUAGUGAUUUAUUAUCUAGGCUUCUAGUCUUUGGAGUGAGUUCAAGGGGUGUGGAGAGGGCUUCUAAAUUGUCAGUGCUUUCAACAGCAUAUGUUGUCUGUGGAAUCCUGAGACCCUUGAUGAUGUAGAAAUUUGUAUUAGAAAUGGGAUCAUACAAAACACCAAACCAAAUCAAAACAAAAGACAGAAUGAAAAAGGAAUCCUACCUUUAGUUAUAAGAAAAAUAUGUCACACUUUCAGAGCACUAAAGUGUAGUCAGUCUGAAUUGCUUCACUCCUGAAUAUAAUAUAUAUAAAUUUUUAUGGUCCUAUUUGAUGUAAGUGAUGUAAUUCUAUAACCUAUUAUUGAUAGUGUUUUUCCUUAUCUGGAUUUUAUAUAGCCAAAGCUAAAAAUGUUCUUGUGAGUUUGAGUUGGUUAAACAAAUAAAUUUGACAUUGAACCAUAUUUCUU